Molecule: non-coding RNA, 84 nt
Organism: Bombyx mori (domestic silkworm)
Lineage: Eukaryota; Metazoa; Arthropoda; Insecta; Lepidoptera; Bombycidae
Source: Rfam
UUAACUCAAAUUUGUAUGAAGUUGAAACGUUUGCCUACGUUUGCCGCUAGGGGCGCUGUUCCAACUGCAUACAAAUUUGAGUUA